This 933-nucleotide ribosomal RNA is filed under the name Triticum aestivum (bread wheat). RNAcentral's name for it is "partial small subunit ribosomal RNA". Lineage: Eukaryota; Viridiplantae; Streptophyta; Magnoliopsida; Poales; Poaceae. The record is from RNAcentral.
AUGGCGUCGGCUGCAGGUGAGGGGAGGAGCCGGGUGCUGGUGAUAGGCGGCACCGGCUACAUCGGCCGCUUCAUCGUCGCCGCCAGCGCACGCGAGGGCCACCCCACCGCCGUCCUCGUCCGCGACGCCGCGCCCGCCGACCCAGCCAAGGCCGCCGUCCUCCAGGGAUUCCGGGAUGCCGGCGUCGCCAUCGUCGAGGGUGAUAUGUAUGAUCAUGAGAGCCUGGUGACAGCCAUUAAAUCAGCAGAUGUUGUGAUCUCGGCCGUGGGUUAUCAACAGCUACCGGAUCAAACUCUCAUUAUCUCGGCAAUUAAGGAAGUUGGGCAUGUAAAGAGAUUCUUCCCAUCAGAGUAUGGUAAUGAUGUGGAUCGUAACCAUGCAGUUGAACCUGCAAAGACAGUAUUCGGUGGGAAAGCUCGUAUAAGGCGUGCCAUUGAGGCUGAGGGAAUUCCCUACACAUAUGUCUCUUCCAACUUCUUUGCUGGUCGUUUCUUGCGAAGCCUUGCGCAGAUUGGGGUCACGGAGCCUCCAACUGAGAAGGUUCUCAUUAUGGGUGAUGGAAAUGUAAAAGGAGUCUUUACGGCGGAAGAAGACGUGGGAACCUACACUAUUAAAGCUGUAGAUGAUCCAAGGACCCUGAACAAAAUCCUGUAUCUGAGGCCACCAAGCAACACUUUGUCCCAUAACGAGCUUGUCUCACUCUGGGAGAAGAAACUUGGUAAGACACUUGAGAGGGUGUACCUCCCAGAAGACGAACUCCUGAAGAAGAUUCAAGGGCCGCUGAGUGUACCACUGGCAAUCAGCCACUCUGUCUGGUUGAAGGGGGACCACACUAACUUUGAGAUCGACCCAUCAUUUGGAGUUGAAGCCACUCAGCUUUACCCUGAUGUGCCUUACAUUACCGUGGAUGAAUACCUAAAUAGGUUCCUUUAA